This 119-nucleotide ribosomal RNA is filed under the name Betta splendens (Siamese fighting fish). The record is from RNAcentral. Lineage: Eukaryota; Metazoa; Chordata; Actinopteri; Anabantiformes; Osphronemidae.
CCUUAUGGCCAUACCACCCUGAGCACGCCUGAUCUCGUCUGAUUUUGGAAGCUAAGCAGGGUUGGGCCUGGUUAGUACUUGGAUGGGAGACCGCCUGGAAAUACCAGGUGCUGUAAGUU